UGGGGUAUCGCCAAGCGGUAAGGCACCGGAUUCUGAUUCCGGCAUUCCGAGGUUCGAAU
Molecule: transfer RNA, 59 nt
Filed under: Klebsiella pneumoniae
Lineage: Bacteria; Pseudomonadati; Pseudomonadota; Gammaproteobacteria; Enterobacterales; Enterobacteriaceae
Description: tRNA-Gln
Rfam family: tRNA
About the family: Transfer RNA (tRNA) molecules are approximately 80 nucleotides in length. Their secondary structure includes four short double-helical elements and three loops (D, anti-codon, and T loops).
Source: RNAcentral